This 253-nucleotide ribosomal RNA is filed under the name uncultured bacterium. Its description in RNAcentral is "partial 16S ribosomal RNA". It matches the Rfam family "Bacterial small subunit ribosomal RNA", at positions 524 to 776 of the family's 1533-position model. The record is from RNAcentral.
UACGUAGGGUGCGAGCGUUAAUCGGAAUUACUGGGCGUAAAGCGCACGUAGGCGGCUUUGUAAGUUAGAGGUGAAAGCCCGGGGCUCAACUCCGGAAUUGCCUUUAAGACUGCAUCGCUAGAAUUGUGGAGAGGUAAGUGGAAUUCCGAGUGUAGAGGUGAAAUUCGUAGAUAUUGGGAAGAACACCGGUGGCGAAGGCGGCCAUCUGGACCGCAACUGACGCUGAGGCGCGAAAGCGUGGGGAGCAAACAGG